ACGGGUUCAAUAGGUCAGACCUGGAAGCUCAGUAAUGGGUGUAGGGAACUGGUGCUAACCGGCCGAAAACUUACAAC
This 77-nucleotide ribosomal RNA is filed under the name Mycobacterium tuberculosis. Its description in RNAcentral is "partial 23S ribosomal RNA". The record is from RNAcentral. Lineage: Bacteria; Bacillati; Actinomycetota; Actinomycetes; Mycobacteriales; Mycobacteriaceae.